AUUGAACGCUGGCGGAAUGCUCUACACAUGCAAGUCGAACGGCAGCACGGACUUCGGUCUGGUGGCGAGUGGCGAACGGGUGAGUAAUGUAUCGGAACGUGCCCAGUCGUGGGGGAUAACGUAGUGAAAAUUACGCUAAUACCGCAUACGAUCUAUGGAUGAAAGCGGGGGAUCGCAAGACCUCGCGCGAUUGGAGCGGCCGAUAUCAGAUUAGGUAGUUGGUGGGGUAAAGGCCCACCAAGCCAACGAUCUGUAGCUGGUCUGAGAGGACGACCAGCCACACUGGAACUGAGACACGGUCCAGACUCCUACGGGAGGCAGCAGUGGGGAAUUUUGGACAAUGGGCGAAAGCCUGAUUCAGCCAUUCCGCGUGCAGGAUGAAGGCCCUCGGGUUGUAAACUGCUUUUGUACAGAACGAAAAGGUUUCUACUAAUACUAGGAGCUCAUGACGGUGCUGUAAGAAUAAGCACCGGCUAACUACGUGCCAGCCGCCGCCGUAA
Molecule: ribosomal RNA, 500 nt
Filed under: uncultured bacterium
Lineage: Bacteria
Description: partial 16S ribosomal RNA
Rfam family: Bacterial small subunit ribosomal RNA
Source: RNAcentral